GGUCCCUAUCCCUGACCAGCAGCGUGGACACGUCGGUGGAGAUCAACAGCUCCGACAGCGACGACUGCACUGCUCUGGGAACGCUGGAGUUCGAGCUGAGGUACGAGCAGAGCUCCAACAAGCUGCACUGCACCGUGCUGCGGGCCAAGGGUCUGAAGCCGAUGGACUUCAACGGUUUAGCUGACCCGUACGUCAAACUGCACCUGCUGCCCGGAGCCUGUAAGG
Non-coding RNA from Maylandia zebra (zebra mbuna), 225 nucleotides. NCBI's taxonomy places the organism in Eukaryota, Metazoa, Chordata, Actinopteri, Cichliformes, Cichlidae. The record is from RefSeq and is a predicted model, not a curated record.